RNAcentral lists this ribosomal RNA (468 nucleotides) under uncultured bacterium. RNAcentral's name for it is "partial 16S ribosomal RNA". It matches the Rfam family "Bacterial small subunit ribosomal RNA", at positions 28 to 507 of the family's 1533-position model. The record is from RNAcentral.
GACGAACGCUGGCGGCGUGCUUAACACAUGCAAGUCGAACGGAAAGGCCCUGCUUUUGUGGGGUGCUCGAGUGGCGAACGGGUGAGUAACACGUGAGUAACCUGCCCUUGCCUUCGGCCUAACUUCAGCCCCCUCGGGCUAACACCGCAUAGCAGCUCCCCCCGCCUGGUGGGGGUUGGAACGUUUCGGCGGUUGGGGAUGGACUCGCGGCCUAUCAGCCUGUUGGUGGGGUAGUGGCUUACCAAGGCUUUGACGGGUAGCCGGCCUGAGAGGGUGACCGGCCACAUUGGGACUGAGAUACGGCCCAGACUCCUACGGGAGGCAGCAGUGGGGAAUAUUGCACAAUGGGCGGAAGCCUGAUGCAGCAACGCCGCGUGCGGGAUGACGGCCUUCGGGUUGUAAACCGCUUUCGCCUGUGACGAAGCGUGAGUGACGGUAAUGGGUAAAGAAGCACCGGCUAACUACGUG